AGGGUCCACGGCGGAUGCCUUGGAGCUGUCCGGCGAAGAAGGUCGUGGUAAGCUGCGAAAAGCCAGGGGGAAGAGCAAACAUCUAAUGAUCCCUGGAUAACCGAAUGGGGUAACCCGGCAGAGUAGACUCUCUGUCACUGUUAGGUGAACAAACUAGCCUAAUGGAGCGAUACUCGGGGAACUGAACCAUCUAAGUACCCGAAGGAAAAGACAUCAAUUGAGAUUGCCUCAGUAGCGGCGAGCGAACGGGUAAGAGCCCAAACCUGGGUGCGUGCACUCAGGGGUUGUAGGGCGUGCAAUAAAGUGUAAGCGGCGUGUAGAAAAACGGUAUUGGAAAAGCCGGCCAGAGAGGGUGAAAGCCCCGUAUUCGAAACACAAAGUUUAUGCGAGUGCGUACCUGAGUAGGACGGGACACGAGAAAUCCUGUCUGAAUCUGGGAGGACCACCUUCCAAGGCUAAAUACGAGACAGCUACCGAUAGCGAAUAGUACCGUGAGGGAACGGUGAAAAGCACCCCGGGAGGGGAGUGAAAGAGAACCUGAAACCGUGGACCUACAAGCGGUCAAAGCCUCAAUUUAUUGGGGUGAUGGCGUGCCUUUUGUAGAAUGAGCCUGCGAGUUACCGUAUGUUGCGAGGUUAAGGUUUAGUAGAACCGAAGCCUAAGGGAAACCGAGUCUGAAUAGGGCGUUAAGUAGCAUGCGGUAGACCCGAAGCCGAGUGAUCUAUCCAUGUCCAGGUUGAAGCUUUGGUAACACAAAGUGGAGGACCGAACCCUAGUCUGUUGAAAAAGGCAGGGAUGAGGUGUGGAUAGGAGUGAAAGGCUAAUCAAACUCGGAGAUAGCUGGCACUCCUCGAAAUAGCUUUAGGGCUAGCCUCGCUUUAGUUUGCCGGAGGUAGAGCACUGAUUGGGCUAGGGCCUUUCACCGGGUACCAAACUCAGUCAAACUCCGAAUGCCGGUUAAAUGAUGAGCGGGAGUCAGACUACGGGUGACAAGAUUCGUGGUCGAGAGGGAAACAGCCCAGACCGUCAGCUAAGGUCUCAAAACUAUGCUCGAGUGGAAAAGGAAGUGCAACGGCGAAGACAGCCAGGAGGUUGGCUUAGAAGCAGCCAUACCUUUAAAGAGUGCGUAACAGCUCACUGGUCGAGUCGUUGUGCGCCGACAAUGUAACGGGGCUAAGCAUAGUACCGAAGCUACGGCUUGUAUGGUUUACCAUACAGGGGUAGAGGAGCAUUCCAUGUACUGUUGAAGGUGUCCUGAAAGGGAUGCUGGAGGGGAUGGAAGAGAGAAUGCAGGCAUGAGUAACGAAAAGACAGGUGAGAUCCCUGUCCGCCGAAAGCCUAAGGAUUCCAGGGUUAAGGUAAUCUGCCCAAGGGUUAGUCGGCCCCUAAGGCGAGGCCGAAAGGCGUAGCCGAUGGGAAACAGGUUAAUAUUCCUGUACCUCCUACAGGACUGAUGGAACGACGCAUGAGGCGAACCCGGGCCGGGCGAUGGUUGUCCCGGUCUAAGCAUUAAGCUGAUGAGACAUGUAGGCAAAUCCGCAUGUUGAGGUGAGAUGUUAAGGCGAGCAGACCUUCGGGAAUGCGAAGCCGGUGGAGUCAAGGUGCCGAGAAAGAGUUUCUAAAGAUAUGCUGUAGGGGACCGUACCGUAAACCGACACAGGUAGGCGGGAAGAGUAUUCUCAGGCGCUCGGGAGAAUUCACGUUAAGGAACUCGGCAAAAUACACACGUAACUUAGGGAGAAGUGUGGCCCUUCUUGGAUGUCAAAGUUUGAGAGGGGUUGCAGAGAAAAGGUUCAAGCGACUGUUUACCAAAAACAUAGGUCUCUGCGAAAUCGUAAGAUGAAGUAUAGGGACUGACACCUGCCCGGUGCUGGAAGGUUAAGAGGAGAUGUGCAAGCGUCGAAUUGAAGCCCCAGUAAACGGCGGCCGUAACUAUAACGGUCCUAAGGUAGCGAAAUUCCUUGUCGGGUAAGUUCCGACCCGCACGAAUGGUGUAACGACUUGAACGCUGUCUCAACGUGAAACCCGGUGAAAUUGAAGUAUCGGUGAAGAUGCCGAUUACCUGUGGUUAGACGGAAAGACCCCGUGAACCUUUACUGCAGCUUGGCAUUGAAAUGUGGCUUGGAAUGUGUAGGAUAGGAGGGAGACAGAGAGGCAUGGUCGCUAGGCUGUGCGGAGUCGUUGGUGAAAUACCUCCCUUUGCAAGUUAUAUUUCUAACGGUAUCCAUGAAGCUGGGUACUGGACAAUGUCAGGUGGGCGGUUUGACUGGGGCGGUCGCCUCCUAAAGAGUAACGGAGGCGCGCGAAGGUAACCUCGCGUUGGUUGGAAAUCAACGUACGAGUGCAAAGGCACAAGGUUGCUUGACUGCGAGACAUACAGGUCGAGCAGGUACGAAAGUAGGUCUUAGUGAUCUGGCGGUUCUGAGUGGAAGGGCCGUCACUUAACGGACAAAAGGUACUCCGGGGAUAACAGGCUGAUUUUGCCCAAGAGUUCAUAUCGACGGCAAAGUUUGGCACCUCGAUGUCGGCUCAUCGCAUCCUGGGGCUGGAGCAGGUCCCAAGGGUAUGGCUGUUCGCCAUUUAAAGCGGUACGCGAGCUGGGUUCAGAACGUCGCGAGACAGUUCGGUCCCUAUCUGCCACAGGCGUUGGAUGUUUGAGAGGAUCUGUUCUUAGUACGAGAGGACCGGAAUGGACGAACCUCUGGUGUACCAGUUAUCUUGCCAAAGGUACGUGCUGGGUAGCCAAGUUCGGCCGGGAUAACCGCUGAAGGCAUCUAAGUGGGAAGCCCCCCUCAAGAUGAGACAUCCCAUCCGCAUUAAGCGGACUGAAGACACCAGAGAGAAGAUCUGGUUGAUAGGCUGGCGGUCUACGCAUGGUAACAUGUUCAGCUGACCAGUACUAAUUAGUCGUGAGGCUUGACC
Molecule: ribosomal RNA, 2922 nt
Filed under: Candidatus Marispirochaeta associata
Lineage: Bacteria; Pseudomonadati; Spirochaetota; Spirochaetia; Spirochaetales; Spirochaetaceae
Description: bacterial LSU rRNA
Rfam family: Bacterial large subunit ribosomal RNA
Source: RNAcentral